RNAcentral lists this transfer RNA (72 nucleotides) under Phrynosoma platyrhinos (Desert horned lizard). RNAcentral describes it as "tRNA-OTHER". The record is from RNAcentral. Lineage: Eukaryota; Metazoa; Chordata; Lepidosauria; Squamata; Phrynosomatidae.
GCCAGUGUACUUUAUUGGUUUGAAUGUUGGACUACAAUUCUGGAGACCAGGGUUCAAAUCCCUUCUCAGCCA